GCGAGGGUGGCGGAAUUGGUAGACGCGCUAGACUUAGGAUCUAGUGGUUCAGCCGUGAGGGUUCGAAUCCCUCCUCUCGCACCA
RNAcentral lists this transfer RNA (84 nucleotides) under Deinococcus sp. RNAcentral describes it as "tRNA-Leu". It matches the Rfam family "tRNA". Rfam says of the family: Transfer RNA (tRNA) molecules are approximately 80 nucleotides in length. Their secondary structure includes four short double-helical elements and three loops (D, anti-codon, and T loops). The record is from RNAcentral. Lineage: Bacteria; Thermotogati; Deinococcota; Deinococci; Deinococcales; Deinococcaceae.